RNAcentral lists this ribosomal RNA (253 nucleotides) under uncultured bacterium. RNAcentral describes it as "partial 16S ribosomal RNA". It matches the Rfam family "Bacterial small subunit ribosomal RNA", at positions 524 to 776 of the family's 1533-position model. The record is from RNAcentral.
UACGUAGGGUGCAAGCGUUAAUCGGAAUUACUGGGCGUAAAGCGUGCGCAGGCGGUUAUGUAAGACAGUUGUGAAAUCCCCGGGCUCAACCUGGGAACUGCAUCUGUGACUGCAUAGCUAGAGUACGGUAGAGGGGGAUAGAAUUCCGCGUGUAGCAGUGAAAUGCGUAGAUAUGCGGAGGAACACCGAUGGCGAAGGCAAUCCCCUGGACCUGUACUGACGCUCAUGCACGAAAGCGUGGGGAGCAAACAGG